GGUAAGAUGGCCGAGAGCGAGGCGGUGGCUUGUAGCUCCACCGAGGAAGGUUAAAGUCCUUCUCUUAUCA
Molecule: transfer RNA, 70 nt
Filed under: Incilius nebulifer (nebulous toad)
Lineage: Eukaryota; Metazoa; Chordata; Amphibia; Anura; Bufonidae
Description: tRNA-Tyr
Rfam family: tRNA
About the family: Transfer RNA (tRNA) molecules are approximately 80 nucleotides in length.
Source: RNAcentral